GCGUUGUUCGGAUUAUUGGGCGUAAAGGGCGCGUAGGCGGGUAUUUAAGUCUGAUGUGAAAGCCAGGCUCAACCCUGGAAGUGCAUCUGAAACUGGGUUCUUGAGGACAGGAGAGGAAAGUGGAAUUCCACGUGUAGCGGUGAAAUGCGUAGAUAUGUGGAGGAACACCAGUGGCGAAGGCGCUUUCUGGACUGUACUGACGCUGAGGCGCGAAAGCGUGGGGAGCAAACAGGAUUAGAUACCCUGGUAGUCCACGCGGUAAACGAUGAGUGCUAGGUGUAGAGGGUAUCGACCCCUUCGUGCCGCAGUUAACGCAAUAAGCACUCCGCCUGGGGAGUACG
RNAcentral lists this ribosomal RNA (341 nucleotides) under uncultured bacterium KH1-2-07. RNAcentral describes it as "bacterial SSU rRNA". It matches the Rfam family "Bacterial small subunit ribosomal RNA", at positions 538 to 884 of the family's 1533-position model. The record is from RNAcentral.